AAGUCGUAACAAGGUAACCGUAGGUGAACCUGCGGUUGGAUCAUUAUCUAUCUUGGGGUGUUGCUGUGAGCAGGCGCCGUCAGGCGACUGUGAUCAGCAACUUCCUUUACCAAAAACACACACUCUUUGUGCAAUGUUGUUGAUGUUUGGGGGGUUGGUUAUCCUUUGCUUUUGCUGCAAUAGCACAAGAGACUCCCAACGCAUGCAAUACAAACUCCAAUUGUAAGCAAAACCCAUCUGAAUGAAUUGAAAGUCAUUGACUUGCUUGCGCAAGCCAACGACUCGACAAUCCAAAACAACUUUUGACAACGGAUCUCUUGGCUCUC
RNAcentral lists this unclassified non-coding RNA (326 nucleotides) under fungal sp. RNAcentral describes it as "partial internal transcribed spacer region". The stretch from base 1 to 46 matches the Rfam family "Eukaryotic small subunit ribosomal RNA", at positions 1786 to 1831 of the family's 1831-position model. The record is from RNAcentral. Lineage: Eukaryota; Fungi.